This 467-nucleotide ribosomal RNA is filed under the name Obovalis omiensis. RNAcentral describes it as "partial 28S ribosomal RNA". The record is from RNAcentral. Lineage: Eukaryota; Metazoa; Mollusca; Bivalvia; Unionida; Unionidae.
UCAAGAGUACGUGAAACCGCUUAGAGGCAAACGGGUGGACCCGCAAAAUGAGGUCGACCCGGGGGAUUCAACCGGGCCGUUGCGAUCGGGACGCGUGGGGGUUAUGCGGAGCUGUAAAGCCCGUGCCUCUGCGUGGGUCUCCGGGCGGACCGGUGCACUUUCCUCGGGUCGAUUGCCACGACCGGCUCUCCCUGCGGCCACAAGCCAGUUGCCGGGAAGGUGACCGUGGGCCUCCGCGCCCGCGGUGUUUACAGCCCGGCUCGCUGGUUGAGCUCGUGGGGGGGCCGAGGAAGUUGCCGUUUCUCGUCGCCCUCCGGCCAUCCUUGCUCGUCACGACUGGGGCGAACUGUCUGGUCAGUGCUCUCCCGACCGCGAGCGUAGGAAGGGCUGGUUACGGUGCGAGAAUUAGCUUCGGGCCGGUGGCGAAUCGGUCGGUCCUCCACCCGACCCGUCUUGAAACACGGACC